GAAUAUGGUGUCUAGCCGUUAGGAUUCGUGGCUUUCACCCAGGUGGCCCGGGUUCGAUUCCCAGCAUGUUGU
Molecule: transfer RNA, 72 nt
Filed under: Stegodyphus mimosarum
Lineage: Eukaryota; Metazoa; Arthropoda; Arachnida; Araneae; Eresidae
Rfam family: tRNA
About the family: Transfer RNA (tRNA) molecules are approximately 80 nucleotides in length.
Source: Rfam by way of RNAcentral